This 497-nucleotide ribosomal RNA is filed under the name uncultured bacterium. RNAcentral's name for it is "partial 16S ribosomal RNA". It matches the Rfam family "Bacterial small subunit ribosomal RNA", at positions 28 to 507 of the family's 1533-position model. The record is from RNAcentral.
GAUGAACGCUGGCGGCGUGCCUAAUACAUGCAAGUCGAGCGAACGGACGAGAAGCUUGCUUUUCUGAUGUUAGCGGCGGACGGGUGAGUAACACGUGGAUAACCUACCUAUAAGACUGGGAUAACUUCGGGAAACCGGAGCUAAUACCGGAUAAUAUUUUGAACCGCAUGGUUCAAAAGUGAAAGACGGUCUUGCUGUCACUUAUAGAUGGAUCCGCGCUGCAUUAGCUAGUUGGUAAGGUAACGGCUUACCAAGGCAACGAUGCAUAGCCGACCUGAGAGGGGGAUCGGCCACACUGGAACUGGGACACGGUCCAGACUCCUACGGGAGGCAGCAGUAGGGAAUCUUCCGCAAUGGGCGAAAGCCUGACGGAGCAACGCCGCGUGAGUGAUGAAGGUCUUCGGAUCGUAAAACUCUGUUAUUAGGGAAGAACAUAUGUGUAAGUAACUGUGCACAUCUUGACGGUACCUAAUCAGAAAGCCACGGCUAACUACGUG